UACAGAGGUGGCAAGCGUUGUUCGGAAUUACUGGGCGUAAAGGGCGCGUAGGCGGUCUUUUAAGUCUUGUGUGAAAUCCCUCGGCUCAACUGAGGAACUGCACGGGAUACUGGUUGGCUUGAGUUUGGGAGAGGGAAGCGGAAUUCCGGGUGUAGCGGUGAAAUGCGUAGAUAUCCGGAGGAACACCGGUGGCGAAGGCGGCUUCCUGGACCGACACUGACGCUGAGGUGCGAAAGCGUGGGGAUCAAACAGG
This 253-nucleotide ribosomal RNA is filed under the name uncultured bacterium. RNAcentral describes it as "partial 16S ribosomal RNA". It matches the Rfam family "Bacterial small subunit ribosomal RNA", at positions 524 to 776 of the family's 1533-position model. The record is from RNAcentral.